CUUCAUUGGCUCAUUCCACAACGGGCUGUGCUACCAGAGUCUCGCUCCACUGAUGGGCAGCAGCUAUCAUUGCAGAGUUCUCAAAGAGGAUGACUUCAGUGAAAACCAAAUGUAAUUGUGUGAAAUAACAAUGAAGACUGUGUCAGGAGGAUGGAGAGCCAAACAUUAGUGAUUGGAAGGGGCUGUCCUGCUAACAAAAGUUGAAAUAUUUGUGCACAUAUUCUGAAAAAUCAAAGUGUUCGGCUGCAUAACUGGAGGAGUUCCAUUCUACUUAUGUGCUCAGAGACACCCGAGGUACCUUUGUAAUCAGCAGACCAAUUGAUUUUUGUAAUAAAUUGUAUGCCAAUUCUGAUAUCUAUAUCUCCUGGAAUGUUUUCAAA
This is a long non-coding RNA of Chiloscyllium plagiosum (whitespotted bambooshark), 380 nucleotides long. RefSeq lists it as uncharacterized. Lineage: Eukaryota; Metazoa; Chordata; Chondrichthyes; Orectolobiformes; Hemiscylliidae. The record is from RefSeq and is a predicted model, not a curated record.